GAUGGGUUGGUGAUGGGCGUUUUGCUCGUGAACCCGGUCAGAUCCGGAAGGAAGCAGCCGCAACGAAAUCAAAGCGGGUCGUUGCCAACUCAUUUCA
RNAcentral lists this signal recognition particle RNA (97 nucleotides) under Alphaproteobacteria bacterium. RNAcentral describes it as "signal recognition particle sRNA small type". It matches the Rfam family "Bacterial small signal recognition particle RNA". Rfam says of the family: The signal recognition particle (SRP) is a universally conserved ribonucleoprotein involved in the co-translational targeting of proteins to membranes. Archaeal SRP consists of a 7S RNA and homologues of the eukaryotic SRP19 and SRP54 proteins. Lineage: Bacteria; Pseudomonadati; Pseudomonadota; Alphaproteobacteria. The record is from RNAcentral.